CAGGAUCUGUUUUCAUAUGAGGAAGUAAACUACAUUAAGAGAGAAAAACACAGUCAUUACUGUGGACUGACUGAUGAGACAGAGGUGGAUUUGAGAAAAUUAAAUGCUGAGAUGAUUCAUAACUCACUCUGUGGAUCAACAUCUGUAUCUGUUUUUAGAUGAAACCAUGACCUCCAGAAUGAAUCUCUCUGAAGGACAUGAAACAAAGAUAAAGACAGUCAAGAGUCUGUGGCAGAAUGAAUCUCCUGAACCCAGCUGUGUGUCCAUGAAGAGUGACCAGUCAAUGGGUCAACCACCUAAUUUCAAUUUGGGAGACACAUCUGCUGAUCUGAGUUACAGGCAAAAACAUAAAGAACCAGAAUCACACACAGCAAAGAAGAACUUAGACUCCAUUUUCAAGGUUGGUUGUGUGUGUGUGUAAGAAAUGAAGAAAUUUGUAAAAUCCUCUCUGUAAUAGUCAUAUUUACUUUCCUACACAUGUAAGAUCAUUUGUAGGCCACUAUAAAGCAGAUCAGUGAUCAAUAAAGUAGAGAAGAUGAAUCCAUAUGUAACCUGACUGCUGCACAAAGAUGAACAUCAAUCUAGCAAACAGACAAUCCAGUCAAACUCCCUCUUUUAACCUCAGUAUCUGUAGACGCUGAUGUUUGAGCAUACAGUCGAAGUUAUUAGCAGGUGUGAUAUAAUUUUGUAAUGUUUAUUAGUGUUCAUGACUUAACUCUUGUGUAUUGAUCCUUUGACCUACACAAAGUCAUCAUGUGUAACAAUGUGUUUUAUAUCAUUUGUUUACUUUAAAAUCAAAACUUUUUUGUUUGGAGUAAGAAAUUAUAUUUAAUUUUUCACCAUCGCGACCUUCAUAAAAUAUAUAUUUGUUUCUUCUUGAAUAAUUAUUAAUCAAAGUUUUUAAUCAAGUUAUUACAGUUCUUGUUUAACUGCUUACACACAAAAUAUUUACUUGUCACACAUUUUCUGAAACCUGACACUCAAACACCAGAACCACACACCACAUCUGCAAAACUAUACAAAAUUGUUAAUAAUCUUGCUUCUUCACCCUUGAAAGAAUUAGUUUUCUCCUGUACUGAAAAUAUACAGCAUACUAGAGCCUCAUCAAGAGGUGACUGUGCAGCGAAUUUUAGAGUUGCUGAUUUUGGUCGCUCAGCUUUUUCUGUAAGAGCUGUUUUAUUGUACAUGGUAUUAUAUCAGUGUUUUUAUUUUAUAAUUUGUUUUGGUACUCUCCUGCCCAGGGACAGCAGAUGAAAUUUAGUUAUGUAGCUAAUUCUGGGGCAGUUUUUUUUUUUUUUUUACUGUGUACUG
This is a long non-coding RNA of Labeo rohita (rohu), 1311 nucleotides long. RefSeq lists it as uncharacterized. The record is from RefSeq and is a predicted model, not a curated record. The transcript is spliced from 4 exons. Lineage: Eukaryota; Metazoa; Chordata; Actinopteri; Cypriniformes; Cyprinidae.